AGGAAUUUAAGUUAAACAAACUAAAAGCCUUCAAAGCUUUAAAUAAGAUAGAUUCUUAAUUCCUG
This 65-nucleotide transfer RNA is filed under the name Clymenella torquata (bamboo worm). Its description in RNAcentral is "tRNA-Trp". The record is from RNAcentral. Lineage: Eukaryota; Metazoa; Annelida; Polychaeta; Maldanidae.